Long non-coding RNA from Poecilia reticulata (guppy), 270 nucleotides. RefSeq lists it as uncharacterized. NCBI's taxonomy places the organism in Eukaryota, Metazoa, Chordata, Actinopteri, Cyprinodontiformes, Poeciliidae. The record is from RefSeq and is a predicted model, not a curated record.
GAGCUCAGGUGGGCUGAUGUGCAGCGCGGUCUGCUGUCUGUGGUUACACAGCGUCAGGUCAGCAUCGGCCCUCAGCAGCCCCUGCAACACCUGUUGAGCACACCGAUCAAACCGCAACUGAUCUCCAAGAGGAAACCUUCUCAUGUUACCAGGAAGUCAUUUUCAACAUGACUCCCAAAGGCGAAGAGGUCAGCCCGUCUCCGUUCUUCUUCUUCAUCAUCAGAGACCUCCAGCACAUCCAGGAUCUCCAUCUGUGGUCCUAAAACCACC